UCAACUUUUCACCUAUAGCACUGAGAGGAAUUAUAUUUUCCUUCUUUGUAAUGGAAUUCUUGUUUUUAUAAUCAAGAAUUCAGGGCUAAUUGGUAAUAUUUCUGACCUUAAAGAAAGUCACAAGGAGAAAUCCAGAGAAUAUCAAAAUCCAGUUGUUUCGGAAACAAAGACGGAAAAGGAUAGUUCGGUGCUCAAAGCAUCGCGAGUUCAAACAAAGGCAGAAAAAGUUUUCGAAAAAGUUGUUGAAAUUGAAAACCAAUGUGGAGAAGAAGAAGAAGAAAAAGAAGAAGGAAUAAUGAAUCAGGAUUUGGUUAUUGUUGGAAUAGCUAAUGAGAAUGAAGAUGAAGCUUAUAAUCAAGAAAAUAAUGUUGAAAUUAUUGAAGAAGAUGAAGAAGAAGAAGAAUUAGAAGAAACAUUAGAAGAGUUGCACAAGAAGUGUGAAGAUUUUAUAAAGAGAAUUAAGAAAGAGAUUAAUAUGACGAAUUGAUGCUGCAAAAUUAAUAAUCAAGGAUUAGUAUCUAUAACAAAUAAUAUAACCAUGUAUUUACUAGUUCUGCCUCAAGUUCACUUGAUUUGCUUCACCUUUUCUUUUUCUUUAUCUGUAUGACAUUUUUGUAAUAGAACCCCCACCCCCACCUCGCAGUUCCAUCUUUUUGGAUACUAUCUUUUUGGAUACUACCUCCGUUCCGGUUGACGUGAACAUAUUUUCUUUUUGGUCCGUUCAAAAAAGAAUGAUCCUUUUCUAAAUUUAGAAAUAAAUUUGCUUAAACUUACAAUUUUACCCUUAAUGAGAAGCUUUUAUAACCACACAAAUGCUCUGAACCCCUUUUUGAAUUGUUUAGGACCACAAAUUUCAAAAGUCGUUUUAUUUUUUCUUAAACUCCAUACUCAAUCAAACAUGUUCACACAAAUUGGAACAGAAGGAGUAUAAUUUUUAAAGGUAUUGAAGCAUACGACAAAAAAAAAAACAUUUCGACAGAAAAUUUGUUUCGAUUUUAUUAUUAUCUUGUUGUUAUUACUGUUUUCUUUUCUUCUUUAUUACUGUGAUUCUGCUUGUUUUAGUCGAGAAAUUAUCGAAAACAAUCUUUCUAUCUGCAGACUUCACUUGUGGAAUUACACUAAAUAUGUUAUUAUUAUUGUACCGGAAAAAAAAGGAUGAACUAUUUUUGAA
Molecule: long non-coding RNA, 1171 nt
Filed under: Nicotiana tabacum (common tobacco)
Lineage: Eukaryota; Viridiplantae; Streptophyta; Magnoliopsida; Solanales; Solanaceae
Description: long non-coding RNA (NTAB_LNC013057)
Source: RNAcentral